AAGUUGUCCAGUACUUUAAAGUAGUUCGUGUAUUUUUCGGACAAACAAAACCCAGGUUCUCCCCGUAACCCUGCAGACGACCAUAUUCUUUGCACAGAGAGUUCACCGUUUGGCCCCCGCUUUUUCUCCGUUCGAUUAGCAUUUUCAGAGGGCAACGUGGUAUUAGUGGGUCCCAUUUGAAUCUUUAAAAUCAGAUAUGUCGAAGCUAUUUGCGAGGAUUGUUGGGUACUUCGGCAAUCGGAAUCUGGUUGGGGUGGACAAAGCGGGCAACCGGUACUUCACCAGAAAGGAAGAGAUUGAUGGUAUCAUGAAAGAGAAAAGAUGGGUUCUGUUCAGGGGAGAGGAGGAUUCAACUUCUAUUCCAGUUGAAUGGAUAUGCUGGCUUAAUGGGCAGCGCAAAAUAGCUCCAACCCCUGAGGAAAUUAUGGAACUGGAAGCUAGGCGUGAACGAGUUCGACAGAAUGUUGCUCGUCUCAAGAAAGAAGAGGAGGAGGAAAAGAGAGCCAAAGAAGGGAAUGCUCGCAAAACCAGCAUCAGUGGUAAAGUUGGAGGUCCAGACUUGAAAAGUUUCAUUCGACAAUUUCCAGAUGCAUUGGAAGGUGGCAAAGUCAAGGAAGCUUCUGAUGCAAUGGAUGGCACGAGGAACUCUAAAGAGAGAGCGACAGAGAAAGCAGAAACAGAGCAAGAGUCUUCGGAACCUACCGGAUCUGGCGCAUCGUUUAGGCCAGGGACAUGGCAACCUCCAUCAUGAAUGAUCUCAUGUUCAGGGGCAUUGUUCCAUGGAGCUAAUGUUUUUGGCAUACUGCUCCAUCUAUGUUCUUUAAAUCAGUCUUCUCUACAAUUUCGGUAGUUUUUGUGUGCAACAGUGCAAGUGAAAUUAGGAUUCGAAUUUUUCUCUUCAACAUACAAAUGAAGAGAAACUGUGUAACUGUGUAUGCUUCUUGAGGAGUUCCUGCUGGAGGACUGUCCGAGUACCAGAUAGCCCCAGAUGCCUUACUAUAAUACCAUAACCAACUCAUUCACAAUAUUUUAUUUUAUUUUUUGAGAAAUUUAGAUGAUUCCUAAACAUUAAAUUAAAGAAUAAUGUUAGAUAUAAGUUUGUGCAA
This is an RNA transcript of Carya illinoinensis, 1106 nucleotides long. RefSeq lists it as uncharacterized. NCBI's taxonomy places the organism in Eukaryota, Viridiplantae, Streptophyta, Magnoliopsida, Fagales, Juglandaceae. The record is from RefSeq and is a predicted model, not a curated record. The transcript has 10 exons.